This 426-nucleotide ribosomal RNA is filed under the name uncultured Propionibacteriaceae bacterium. Its description in RNAcentral is "bacterial SSU rRNA". It matches the Rfam family "Bacterial small subunit ribosomal RNA", at positions 356 to 774 of the family's 1533-position model. The record is from RNAcentral. Lineage: Bacteria; Bacillati; Actinomycetota; Actinomycetes; Propionibacteriales; Propionibacteriaceae.
GGGGAAUAUUGGACAAUGGGCGAAAGCCUGAUCCAGCCAUGCCGCGUGUGUGAAGAAGGUCUUCGGAUUGUAAAGCACUUUAAGUUGGGAGGAAGGGUUUCUGGCUAAUAUCCAGGAAUUUUGACGUUACCGACAGAAUAAGCACCGGCUAACUACGUGCCAGCAGCCGCGGUGAUACGUAGGGUGCGAGCGUUGUCCGGAAUUAUUGGGCGUAAAGAGCUUGUAGGCGGUCUGUUGCGUCGGAAGUGAAAACUCAGGGCUUAACUCUGAGCCUGCUUUCGAUACGGGCAGACUUGAGGAAUGUAGGGGAGAAUGGAAUUCCUGGUGGAGCGGUGGAAUGCGCAGAUAUCAGGAGGAACACCAGUGGCGAAGGCGGUUCUCUGGACAUUUCCUGACGCUGAGAAGCGAAAGCGUGGGGAGCAAACA